AAUCAACGCUGGCGGCGCGCCUAACACAUGCAAGUCGAGCGAGAAAGGGGGGCAACUCCUGAGUACAGCGGCGUACGGGUGAGUAACACGUGGAUCAUCUACCUCUUAGUGGGGAAUAACGCUGGGAAACCGGCGCUAAUACCGCAUAAGCCUGAGAAGGGAAAGCAGCAAUGCGCUGAGAGAGGAGUCCGCGGCCGAUUAGCUAGUUGGUGAGGUAAUGGCUCACCAAGGCGAAGAUCGGUAGCCGGCCUGAGAGGGCACACGGCCACACUGGCACUGAAACACGGGCCAGACUCCUACGGGAGGCAGCAGUGGGGAAUCUUGCACAAUGGGGGAAACCCUGAUGCAGCGACGCCGCGUGAGCGAUGAAGCCCUUCGGGGUGUAAAGCUCUUUCGGCAGGGAAGAUGAUGAUGGUACCUGCAGAAGCAGCUGCGGUUAACUACGUGCCAGCAGCUGCGGUAAUACGUAGGCAGCAAGCGUUGUUCGGAGUUACUGGGCGUAAAGGGUGUGUAGGCGGUCGAUCAAGUUUGGUGUGAAAUCUCCCGGUUUAACUGGGAGGGUGCGCCGAAUACUGAUUGACUCGAGUGCGGGAGAGGAAAGUGGAAUUCCUGGUGUAGCGGUGAAAUGCGUAGAUAUCAGGAGGAACACCGGUGGUGUAAACGGCUUUCUGGACCGUAACUGACGCUGAGACACGAAAGCGUGGGUAGUAAACAGGAUUAGAUACCCUGGUAGUCCACGCCCUAAACGAUGCAUAUUUGGUGUGGGUCAUUUAGUUGAUCCGUGCCGGAGCUAAUGCGUUAAAUAUGCCGCCUGGGGAGUACAGUCGCAAGGCUG
Molecule: ribosomal RNA, 835 nt
Filed under: uncultured bacterium
Lineage: Bacteria
Description: bacterial SSU rRNA
Rfam family: Bacterial small subunit ribosomal RNA
Source: RNAcentral